This 465-nucleotide ribosomal RNA is filed under the name uncultured bacterium. Its description in RNAcentral is "partial 16S ribosomal RNA". It matches the Rfam family "Bacterial small subunit ribosomal RNA", at positions 28 to 507 of the family's 1533-position model. The record is from RNAcentral.
GACGAACGCUGGCGGUGUGCUUAACACAUGCAAGUCGAACGGUAAGGCCCUUUCGGGGGUACACGAGUGGCGAACGGGUGAGUAACACGUGAGUAACCUGCCCUCAUCUCUGGGAUAACAGUCGGAAACGGUUGCUAAUACUGGAUAUGAGCCUGCAAGGCAUCUUGUGGGUUUGAAAGAUUUUUUGGUUGGGGAUGGACUCGCGGCCUAUCAGCUUGUUGGUGAGGUAGUGGCUCACCAAGGCUUCGACGGGUAGCCGGCCUGAGAGGGCGACCGGCCACAUUGGGACUGAGAUACGGCCCAAACUCCUACGGGAGGCAGCAGUGGGGAAUAUUGCACAAUGGACGGAAGUCUGAUGCAGCAACGCCGCGUGCGGGAUGACGGCCUUCGGGUUGUAAACCGCUUUCAAUUGUGACGAAGCUUUUUGUGACGGUAGCAGUAGAAGAAGCACCGGCUAACUACGUG